This 500-nucleotide ribosomal RNA is filed under the name uncultured bacterium. RNAcentral's name for it is "partial 16S ribosomal RNA". It matches the Rfam family "Bacterial small subunit ribosomal RNA", at positions 28 to 507 of the family's 1533-position model. The record is from RNAcentral.
GACGAACGCUGGCGGCGUGCUUAACACAUGCAAGUCGAACGGAAAGGCCUGCUUUUCCUUGUGGAUUGCGGGUACUCGAGUGGCUAAGGGGUGCGUAACACGUGAGUGAUUUGCCCCCAACUUGGGUAUAAGCCUGGGAAACUGGGUCUAAUUACCGAUAGGACUGCAGGGUGGUGCCUGUGGUGGCAAACGUGUUUCUAGUGGUUGGGGAUGAGCCCGCGCCCUAUCAGCUUGGUGGUGAGGUAAUGGCCUACCAAGGCGGCGACGGGUAGCCGGCGUCAGAGUGUGAUCGUCCACACUGGAACUGAGACAGGGUCCAGACUCAUACGGGAGGCAGAAGUAGGGGAUCGGCCGCAAGGGCCGAAGGCCUGAGGCAGAAGCGGCGAGUGAGUGUGGAAGAUGUCCGGAUCGUAAUACUCUGCUACUUGCGACGAACAAAAGUGUAAGUAGCUAUGCACGUCUUGACGGUACCGGUACAGAAGGCAACGGCUAACUACGUG